Molecule: ribosomal RNA, 253 nt
Filed under: uncultured bacterium
Lineage: Bacteria
Description: partial 16S ribosomal RNA
Rfam family: Bacterial small subunit ribosomal RNA
Source: RNAcentral
UACGUAGGGGGCAAGCGUUGUCCGGAUUUAUUGGGCGUAAAGAGCGUGUAGGCGGCCAGAUAGGUCAGCUGUGAAAACUUGAGGCUCAACCUCGAGAUGGCGGCUGAAACCAUCUGGCUAGAGUCCGGAAGAGGAGAAUGGAAUUCCCGGUGUAGCGGUGAAAUGCGCAGAUAUCGGGAAGAACACCCGUGGCGAAGGCGGUUCUCUGGGACGGUACUGACGCUGAGACGCGAAAGCGUGGGGAGCGAACAGG